AGAGAACACUAAACAUCAAUAAGAAAACAGCUUCCAAAAAAUAAAAUUGAACUCCAGAAAUCCCCUAAAUAAUUAUCAGGAAAAGGAGACCCUUCUGAUUAUAGCGAGCUAUUCCUUUUAGGUUGCAUUCAGGGCUGCUAUUUAGCAACCAUAGAGUGGUUUGUGUACUCACAAUUCACAUAAGUUAACAAGACAACCAGACCAAUAAAUCCAAAAUGUAGUAUAACAAUAUAGCAGCAGAU
This 242-nucleotide unclassified non-coding RNA is filed under the name Hevea brasiliensis (rubber tree). Lineage: Eukaryota; Viridiplantae; Streptophyta; Magnoliopsida; Malpighiales; Euphorbiaceae. The record is from RNAcentral.